Molecule: ribosomal RNA, 465 nt
Filed under: uncultured bacterium
Lineage: Bacteria
Description: bacterial SSU rRNA
Rfam family: Bacterial small subunit ribosomal RNA
Source: RNAcentral
GAUGAACGCUAGCGAUAGGCUUAACACAUGCAAGUCGAGGGGCAACGGGAUGUAGCGAUACAUUGCCGGCGACCGGCGCACGGGUGCGUAACGCGUAUGCAACCUGCCCAAUUUCGGAGGAUAACCCGUUGAAAGACGGACUAAAACUCCAUACCACCGUAAUGUCACCUGGGAUUAUGGUAAAACGAGAAGGAAAUUGGAUGGGCAUGCGUUCCAUUAGAUAGUUGGUGGGGUAAUGGCCCACCAAGUCGACGAUGGAUAGGGGAACUGAGAGGUUUAUCCCCCACACUGGUACUGAGACACGGCCCAGACUCCUACGGGAGGCAGCAGUGGGGAAUAUUGCGCAAUGGAGGAAACUCUGACGCAGCAACGCCGCGUGAAGGAUGAAGGUUUUCGGAUUGUAAACUUCUUUGAUCGGGGACGAAAUAGACGGUACCCGAGGAACAAGCCACGGCUAACUACGUG